Molecule: non-coding RNA, 853 nt
Organism: Leptonychotes weddellii (Weddell seal)
Lineage: Eukaryota; Metazoa; Chordata; Mammalia; Carnivora; Phocidae
Source: RefSeq, a predicted model, not a curated record
CUGUAAUAAUAUUCCGCGGUCAGAUAAACACCAGACUUGCUCCCUCACUUCAUGCAGGUCAGGUGCCCGUUCGGACUUCGUGCAAAGUGGGAAGCGCCACCUCCCGGGAAGCCAACCUACUCGAGAACGAAGGAAGUGACUCAUAGAAUCUUAGGCAAAAAAAAAAGCAGCGUGCCGGAAGAGCAAGAAAAAGCAGUGCCGGAAGUUAAACGUCGGAAUGUUGCUCCCUAGAAUGACAUCCGAUUCCCAAGAGGAAGUGUGGCCGAGUGGUGUUCUGCAAAACGGACUCCCCGGCAGCCGAUCCGGAAAGAAGCGUUCCGCGCCUGCGGGUGCCAGGAACCACGUGGGGCCGAGGCGUGUUUCCGGUGCCGGCGGCCCCUGGAGGAGUUGCAGCUGUAGCAGCUGGAGGGGUCAGGGGCCUCCUCCUUCCCCAUCUUGUGAAGGCAGAGAAGGUCAUGAGCCCAGUCUUCUCUGUAAAAGGCAAGGUCUGGGAUGGACGUUCGCUGGGCCUCUUUCCUGCAUGAUGUCCCAUCUCAGAUAUUACUAACGGCUCUAGUUCUCCCACCAUCCACCUUUUACCGGUUUGUCUGAAUAUUCAUUAUGUCUUAUGAUGUGGCAUAAAUUGUAUCGGGUUGGGAAAUCAGGAUUUUGGACCUCAUUCUGGUGCUCUAGAUUUGUUUGUUUGUAAAAUGAAGAGGAUUAUAAUGAAAUAGUCUCUAAGACCCCUUCCAGUUCUAAUACCAUGAUUGUGGCAGUAGGUCAAACUGUUUUGUUCUACCUUAGGCCUGACCCCACUUUAUCACUGUUGUUUCCCUUCUCUGAAUAAUUCACAAAGACAGUGUGUCUUUUUUUU